CAAGAAUGCCUUUGACUACUUCUACACUUUCAGAGUAGUUAUAAUAGGCAAGCCUGAUCCCCCAUCGAACCUUGUGAUCAGUCAAAUCACAGAAAACAGCGCCGUCAUAUCGUGGAUUCCCGGGGAGGAUAACGGACACAUUCAAACAUGCACAUUAACCUACAAUAAAUUAAGAGGAGAAUUACAGACCAAUUUCACCACCAGCAAAUCGUCAUUCAUUGUUCGAAAUCUUACCAUGUCCACACGUUAUGAGGUUUCAGUUUAUGCCAGUAAUUUAGAGGGGACUAGUGAGAUCAUCACUGGUAACUUCAGGACAACAGCAGCCCUUGGACGUCAAUCCAACAACA
Molecule: long non-coding RNA, 347 nt
Organism: Pecten maximus
Lineage: Eukaryota; Metazoa; Mollusca; Bivalvia; Pectinida; Pectinidae
Exons: 3
Source: RefSeq, a predicted model, not a curated record